AGACGUAAAUAUGCUGCCAGAAUCACGAGGCAGUGAGCACCGAUGGGAAAAUCAAGUCAUAUUUUUGGGAAGAGGUCGAUGACGCGAAGCCUCAGCAAAUUGCAGUUUGCGCAGUUUUUUUUUUGUUUGUAAAACUAAAUUUUAAAGUUGUUUGUGUUGGUUUUCUUAGUUUAAAAAUAUUUAAAAGUACUCAAAAAGUUUUGGCUGCUUUAUAUACCUACAAUAGAUAUAGAGAGUGAGAUGACAUAGUUAUUUGAAAUAGAGCAUAGGUACACGUAUAUCAUCCACAGUUAAAUAUUUAACCAGCCUCAGUCAUCCAACUUAAGUUACAUAAAAAUGACAUAGACAUUUCAGCAUUGAAAUUGGAUAUUUUUUUCGUGUCAUGUCAGACAACAGUCCGACUCAAAAUCAACCAGCUCCGUCUCAAGGAACCGGCAGCCGGCUAGGACAAAUAAUAACAAUAGCCUUGAUUGGCAUUGCAGCUUUCGGGGUGUACCGUUUGUAUGAAGAGCGUCAGAAGAGGAACAAGGGCGGUGGUGGCGGUGGUCCCUGCGGCGGCGGAGGGGGAGGCGGCGGAGGGGGAGGCUGCGGACUGAGCGGGCAGGCCCUGGGAAGCGGACUGGUUAGGAUGUUCCGCUCCCCAGUUGCCAGCCGCCUGCUGGGCAGCUCCUUCACACCAGCGGAAGACGUCGAUUGAGCUUCUGGUCUGCCCUGAGAUGGCCACUUGCUCAGCAUCGGUCCGAGUUCGGCUGACCGUCAGCUUGGUUUUGCCUGCUAGUUUAUAACCGACUACUCAGGUAUGCGGUUUUCAUUUAUCUUUCUAACAACCUCACUCGAACCACAGCAAACCAUGAAGUCAGCAAAACCACAAGAGACGGAUACACUACGCUGCCAAUUUGAGCAUCUUCACGACAAUGCCACACUUGGCGGCAAUCAAAGCCUGUCAAUUUGGAUCGGAUUGAACGUCAAUAAUCCCAUCGAUUCGCCGCCAAGUUAGUGGAGCUCAGAUGGAUGCUUCGAACAGGAUCCUCUCGCAGUUAAGUUGAUACCAUAUCGCGCUGGUGUUCGAUUGACGUUUGUGAUUUGAACACUGUGUAAAUGACCUAUAAUUGUUGAAAAUUAGCGUUUCGUCUGUACAAUUGAUGCCCAUGCUACUAUUUGGACAUGGCUCCGAUGCCCACUGAAAACGUUGGGUGCGCGAUGCUUUGCCUUUACUCCAUCCUGAGGCUGGUAACGCUCCGGGGCUUAUUCUUUUCCCUAUAGCACGGGAUUUGCUCCUGUAAGCACGUCAGUUUCUUCCAACCAAUAUGUACCAGUAAUAGCCAAUAAAUCUUCACGCGUAUCUUCUA
Amphibalanus amphitrite is the source of this 1349-nucleotide long non-coding RNA. RefSeq lists it as uncharacterized. The record is from RefSeq and is a predicted model, not a curated record. Lineage: Eukaryota; Metazoa; Arthropoda; Thecostraca; Balanomorpha; Balanidae. The transcript has 2 exons.